Potamilus streckersoni is the source of this 80-nucleotide non-coding RNA. The record is from the annotation of a GenBank genome assembly. NCBI's taxonomy places the organism in Eukaryota, Metazoa, Mollusca, Bivalvia, Unionida, Unionidae.
GACUGCUUCUGUGGCCUAGUGGUUAGAGCGUGGUGUUUCUUAUAUGCGGGAGGUCACGGGUUCGAACCCCGGCUGAGUUA